CCAGGGGGUAGAUUGUGGUGAACCUCAGUAGGGGUUGUGAAUGCAACCCCAUCUAAGCUCCUCCUCCUGCACCCAGGUGCAGAUAAAAGGGCCAAGAUGGCUAAAGUCAGCCUCUGUUGGUUGCCUCCUAGGGUGGAUCCCCUGCUGCUGUUUUGUAUGGUUUUAGUUGUUCUGGUUAGCUGUUUUGUUUUGGUUCCGUUUGCUAUUUUGUUUUGGUUGCAUUGGUUAAGUUUGCUUUUGUGUUAUUUUCCCUUUUCUGUUUCAUUGUUUGACCUUUGGUUUGCUGGGUUACUUAACCCCUGUUUUGCAGUUUGGUUUGGUGAGGUUUUGCUCUUGUUUUCUUUAUUUAGUUAUUGUAACAAAAGAAACGGUUAAUAUAGUUAUUGUCUCUGCCUCUUUUAGUUCUUGAACCUGUGUCCUUAUUAUUUCUGUAAUAUCAUAGUUUAACUUUCUUUGUUCUAUAUUUCCUGGGGUGUAAUUCCCCAGGUGGCGUUGUCGGUCCCUCUUUAGUUAUUUCCCCCUCCCCUCGUUAAUAUUGACUGUUGCACUGAGCCCCGCCACA
Long non-coding RNA from Gadus morhua (Atlantic cod), 562 nucleotides. RefSeq lists it as uncharacterized. Lineage: Eukaryota; Metazoa; Chordata; Actinopteri; Gadiformes; Gadidae. The transcript has 2 exons. The record is from RefSeq and is a predicted model, not a curated record.